RNAcentral lists this microRNA precursor (103 nucleotides) under Marmota monax (woodchuck). The record is from RNAcentral. Lineage: Eukaryota; Metazoa; Chordata; Mammalia; Rodentia; Sciuridae.
AUGAAAAUCACCUCAGAAUCUCAUUAGAACACAUUCUUACCCAGUAGUUCCAGCAUGAGGCCUGAGAUUCUGCAUUUCUAACAAGCUCCCAGGUGAUACCAAA